AUACAUGCAAGUCGAGCGAACUGAUUAGGAAGCUUGCUUCUAUGACGUUAGCGGCGGACGGGUGAGUAACACGUGGGCAACCUGCCUGUAAGACUGGGAUAACUUCGGGAAACCGAAGCUAAUACCGGAUAGGAUCUUCUCCUUCAUGGGAGAUGAUUGAAAGAUGGUUUCGGCUAUCACUUACAGAUGGGCCCGCGGUGCAUUAGCUAGUUGGUGAGGUAACGGCUCACCAAGGCAACGAUGCAUAGCCGACCUGAGAGGGUGAUCGGCCACACUGGGACUGAGACACGGCCCAGACUCCUACGGGAGGCAGCAGUAGGGAAUCUUCCGCAAUGGACGAAAGUCUGACGGAGCAACGCCGCGUGAGUGAUGAAGGCUUUCGGGUCGUAAAACUCUGUUGUUAGGGAAGAACAAGUACGAGAGUAACUGCUUGUACCUUGACGGUACCUAACCAGAAAGCCACGGCUAACUACGUGCCAGCAGCCGCGGUAAUACGUAGGUGGCAAGCGUUAUCCGGAAUUAUUGGGCGUAAAGCGCGCGCAGGCGGUUUCUUAAGUCUGAUGUGAAAGCCCACGGCUCAACCGUGGAGGGUCAUUGGAAACUGGGGAACUUGAGUGCAGAAGAGAAAAGCGGAAUUCCACGUGUAGCGGUGAAAUGCGUAGAGAUGUGGAGGAACACCAGUGGCGAAGGCGGCUUUUUGGUCUGUAACUGACGCUGAGGCGCGAAAGCGUGGGGAGCAAACAGGAUUAGAUACCCUGGUAGUCCACGCCGUAAACGAUGAGUGCUAAGUGUUAGAGGGUUUCCGCCCUUUAGUGCUGCAGCUAACGCAUUAAGCACUCCGCCUGGGGAGUACGGUCGCAAGACUGAAACUCAAAGGAAUUGACGGGGGGCCCGCACAAGCGGUGGAGCAUGUGGUUUAAUUUCGAAGCAACGCGAAGACCUUACCAGGUCUUGACAUCCUCUGACACUCUAGAGAUAGAGCGUUCCCCUUCGGGGGACAGAGUGACAGUUGUGCAUGCUUGUCGUCAGCUCGUGUCUUGAGAUGUGGUAGUCCCGCACGGCGCAUCCUUGAUCUUACUGCAGCAUUCAGUGGCACUC
Molecule: ribosomal RNA, 1098 nt
Filed under: bacterium
Lineage: Bacteria
Description: bacterial SSU rRNA
Rfam family: Bacterial small subunit ribosomal RNA
Source: RNAcentral